GACCAAGGAUUACAAGAAGUUCAACCACUUAACAUACAUCAACCCUCGAACUCAACGGAAAAAACAAGGUUCUCGAAUCAAAAACCAACUAAUGAUAAACAGAAGAAACCAAGAAUUGAAGACUGAUUUUUUUUUUUUUAAUAAACAUACUUUGAAAGACAUGGAUUUUUAAUAUUAUUUAAUGUUUGUUUUAAGUCACCUUAGAGGUUAUAAUUUAAUUAUAAUAAAUAGUCAUAAAUGAUAAAUCGUUAGGAUUUUAUAAUGAUUUAGUUAAAACUAUUUUAAUAACAAAACAUUCAAUAAAUAACGUCGAAAUAAAAAGGUCAAUUUGUCAACUAACCAAAUAAAAAAAAAGUGAAAAAUAUAGCAUAUUAAUUGAAAAGAAAUAAGAAAAAUAGGAUUAGGGGCAUGAAAAAUUACUUUUGGUGUUGUGAUGUUUUAGUGAUAAUGGUGGGUGGUGGCUACAUGUGGC
RNAcentral lists this long non-coding RNA (472 nucleotides) under Capsella rubella. Its description in RNAcentral is "long non-coding RNA (CRUB_LNC003875)". Lineage: Eukaryota; Viridiplantae; Streptophyta; Magnoliopsida; Brassicales; Brassicaceae. The record is from RNAcentral.